AGACGGAGGGUGCAAGCGUUAAUCGGAAUUACUGGGCGUAAAGCGCUCGUAGGCGGCUUGUUAAGUCGGAUGUGAAAGCCCCGGGCUCAACCUGGGAACUGCAUUCGAUACUGGCAGGCUAGAGUAUAGUAGAGGCAAGUGGAAUUCCGGGUGUAGCGGUGAAAUGCGUAGAUAUCCGGAGGAACAUCAGUGGCGAAGGCGACUUGCUGGACUAAUACUGACGCUGAGGAGCGAAAGCGUGGGGAGCAAACGGGAUUAGAAACCCCUGUAGUCC
Molecule: ribosomal RNA, 274 nt
Filed under: uncultured bacterium
Lineage: Bacteria
Description: partial 16S ribosomal RNA
Rfam family: Bacterial small subunit ribosomal RNA
Source: RNAcentral